AACGAACGCUGGCGGCAUGCCUAACACAUGCAAGUCGAACGAGACCUUCGGGUCUAGUGGCGCACGGGUGCGUAACGCGUGGGAACCUGCCCUUAGGUUCGGAAUAACUCCCCGAAAGGGGUGCUAAUACCGGAUAAUGUCUUCGGACCAAAGAUUUAUCGCCUUUGGAUGGGCCCGCGUUGGAUUAGCUAGUUGGUAGGGUAAAAGCCUACCAAGGCGACGAUCCAUAGCUGGUCUGAGAGGAUGAUCAGCCACACUGGGACUGAGACACGGCCCAGACUCCUACGGGAGGCAGCAGUGGGGAAUAUUGGACAAUGGGCGAAAGCCUGAUCCAGCAAGGCAGCGUGAGUGAUGAAGGCCUUAGGGUUGUAAAGCUCUUUUACCCGGGAUGAUAAUGACAGUACCGGGAGAAUAAGCUCCGGCUAACUCCGUG
RNAcentral lists this ribosomal RNA (433 nucleotides) under uncultured bacterium. Its description in RNAcentral is "partial 16S ribosomal RNA". It matches the Rfam family "Bacterial small subunit ribosomal RNA", at positions 29 to 507 of the family's 1533-position model. The record is from RNAcentral.